UCCAUUUAAUAACUUAAUUUACGUGGCCUAAUUACAAAUGUUACAAGCCCAAAUUGUAACCCAAUUACAUUAGCCUAAACCCAAAUCUAACCUAGCCCAAUAAACCCAUAACAGAAUCAAAGAACCCUAGCCCCUUCGCUUCAGUGCCGCAGCAGCAAACAGCCUCCGCAGCACCACAGAUGUCACAGCACCUUGCACGUUCUCCUUCCACGCCGCGCACAAUGCCCGUACCUGCAACAAAAAGAACCACGAGCAGCAAGCAAGAGAAAAAACCGAAAAUAUAGCAAAUUGUAAAAAGAUUUGGCUAUAAAAAGCCAAUUGAUUUAUGUAAUGGGGGUUAGACAAAUGUUGUAAAAA
This 357-nucleotide long non-coding RNA is filed under the name Gossypium raimondii (Peruvian cotton). RNAcentral describes it as "long non-coding RNA (GRAI_LNC000260)". The record is from RNAcentral. Lineage: Eukaryota; Viridiplantae; Streptophyta; Magnoliopsida; Malvales; Malvaceae.